This 467-nucleotide ribosomal RNA is filed under the name uncultured bacterium. RNAcentral describes it as "partial 16S ribosomal RNA". It matches the Rfam family "Bacterial small subunit ribosomal RNA", at positions 28 to 507 of the family's 1533-position model. The record is from RNAcentral.
GACGAACGCUGGCGGCGUGCUUAACACAUGCAAGUCGAACGGAAAGGCCCUGCUUUUGUGGGGUGCUCGAGUGGCGAACGGGUGAGUAACACGUGAGUAACCUGCCCUUGACUUUGGGAUAACUUCAGGAAACUGGGGCUGAUACCGGAUAGGAGCUCCUGCUGCAUGGUGGGGGUUGGAAAGUUUCGGCGGUUGGGAUGGACUCGCGGCUUAUCAGCUUGUUGGUGGGGUAGUGGCUUACCAAGGCUUUGACGGGUAGCCGGCCUGAGAGGGUGACCGGCCACAUUGGGACUGAGAUACGGCCCAGACUCCUACGGGAGGCAGCAGUGGGGAAUAUUGCACAAUGGGCGGAAGCCUGAUGCAGCAACGCCGCGUGCGGGAUGACGGCCUUCGGGUUGUAAACCGCUUUCGCCUGUGACGAAGCGUGAGUGACGGUAAUGGGUAAAGAAGCACCGGCUAACUACGUG